GAUGAACGCUGGCGGCGUGCCUAAUACAUGCAAGUCGAGCGAACGGACGAGAAGCUUGCUUCUCUGAUGUUAGCGGCGGACGGGUGAGUAACACGUGGAUAACCUACCUAUAAGACUGGGAUAACUUCGGGAAACCGGAGCUAAUACCGGAUAAUAUUUUGAACCGCAUGGUUCAAAAGUGAAAGGCGGUCUUGCUGUCACUUAUAGAUGGUUCCGCGCUGCAUUAGCUAGUUGGUAAGGUAACGGCUUACCAAGGCAACGAUGCAUAGCCGACCUGAGAGGGUGAUCGGCCACACUGGAACUGAGACACGGUCCAGACUCCUACGGGAGGCAGCAGUAGGGAAUCUUCCGCAAUGGGCGAAAGCCUGACGGAGCAACGCCGCGUGAGUGAUGAAGGUCUUCGGAUCGUAAAACUCUGUUAUUAGGGAAGAACAUAUGUGUAAGUAACUGUGCACAUCUUGACGGUACCUAAUCAGAAAGCCACGGCUAACUACGUG
RNAcentral lists this ribosomal RNA (497 nucleotides) under uncultured bacterium. RNAcentral's name for it is "partial 16S ribosomal RNA". It matches the Rfam family "Bacterial small subunit ribosomal RNA", at positions 28 to 507 of the family's 1533-position model. The record is from RNAcentral.